This 497-nucleotide ribosomal RNA is filed under the name uncultured bacterium. RNAcentral's name for it is "partial 16S ribosomal RNA". It matches the Rfam family "Bacterial small subunit ribosomal RNA", at positions 28 to 507 of the family's 1533-position model. The record is from RNAcentral.
GAUGAACGCUGGCGGCGUGCCUAAUACAUGCAAGUCGAGCGAACAGACGUGGAGCUUUCUCCUCUGACGUUAGCGUCUGACGGGUGAGUAACACGUGGAUAACCUACCUGUAAGACUGGGAUAACUUCGGGAAACCGGAGCGAAUACCGGAUAAGAUAUUGAACCGCAUGGUUCAAUCGUGAAAUACUGUUUUGCUGUCACUUAUAGAUGUAUCCGCUCCGCAUUAGCUAGUUGGUAAGGUAACGGCUUACCCAGGCGACGAUGCGUAGCCGACAUGAAAGCGAGAUCGCACAAACUAGAAGUGAGACACGGCCCAGACACCUAGGGGAAGCAGCAGUAGGGACUCUUACGCGAUGGGGGAAAGCCUGACGGAGCAAAGCCGCGUGAGUGAUGAAGGUCUUCGGAUCGUAAAACUCUGUUAUUAGGGAAGAACAAAUGUGUAAGUAACUAUGCACGUCUUGACGGUACCUAACCAGAAAGCCACGGCUAACUACGUG